Molecule: unclassified non-coding RNA, 714 nt
Filed under: Hevea brasiliensis (rubber tree)
Lineage: Eukaryota; Viridiplantae; Streptophyta; Magnoliopsida; Malpighiales; Euphorbiaceae
Source: RNAcentral
GUUUGGGUAUGAUCGUUUAGCUGAUGAUUAUAAGGUGGUUACGAUUGCACAAUUGUAUCAUCCUGAUGCUGAACCUUCGUUGGUUUCGGAAACAAUGGUUUUUAGUUUGAAGUUGGAUGUGUGGAAGAAGGUUCAGGAUUGUCCUUACUGGUUGCUUAAAGAGGAUAAUGGGACUUGUGCUGGAGGUGCAUUGCAUUGGAUUGUAACGAAGGAACCGUCAGCUUGGUGGAGUCCUUUGAUUCUUGUGGGGCUUAAUCUUCAAAAUGGGACUUUUCAGGAGGUGGAGUAUCCGGAGGAUUUGGGGAAUCCGCAACAGAUAAAUUUGGCUGUGUUGGGAGAAUGUCUUUGCUUGCUUAAAGGUCAUCUCACUUGUUCAAAUGCAAAGAAUCAUGUGUUGGAUCGUAUUGACGUAUGGAUGAUGAAGGAUUACGGAGUGAAAGAGUCUUGGGUUAAGUUGUUUUCGGUGGAGCAGUUAGAGGGUCGUCAACAUUUCCGUAACUUGAGGCCAAUAACAUAUUCAGUGACUGGUAAGGAAGUUCUUAUGGAAAUGGAUAAUAGGAAGUUUCUUUGGUAUAGUCUUGAAAGGAAGUCGCUCAAAUAUGCUAAGAUGAACAGUAAAUUGGACACUUUUGAAUCCAUUGUCUGUUUGGGAAGUCUUGUUCCUUUAUAUGGAGGUCGCAAUGAAAAGGAUAGGAAGAAAGGGAUUGAGCAACG